UCAACGCGUUGGGAGCUCUCCCAUAUGGUCGACCUGCAGGCGGCCGCGAAUUCACUAGUGAUUAGAGUUUGAUCCAGGCUCAGAAUGAACGCUGGCGGCAGGCCUAACACAUGCAAGUCGAACGGAGUUAUAUUGUAGCUUGCUAUGGUAUAACUUAGUGGCAGACGGGUGAGUAAUGUAUAGGAAUCUACCUAGUAGUACGGAAUAAUUGUUGGAAACGGCAACUAAUACCAUAUACCACCCUACGGGGGAAAAAUUUAUUGCUAUUAGAUGAGCCUAUAUUAGAUUAGCUAGUUGGUGGAGUAAUAGCCUACCAAGGCAAUGAUCUAUAGCUGAUCUGAGAGGAUGAUCAGCCACACUGGAACUGAGAUACGGUCCAGACUCCUACGGGAGGCAGCAGUGGGGAAUAUUGGACAAUGGGCGAAAGCCUGAUCCAGCCAUGCCGCAUGAGUGAAGAAGGCCUUUGGGUUGUAAAGCUCUUUUAGUGAGGAAGAUAAUGACGGUACUCACAGAAGAAGUCCUGGCUAACUCCGUGCCAGCAGCCGCGGUAAUACGGAGAGGGCUAGUGUUAUUCGGAAUUAUUGGGCGUAAAGGGCGCGUAGGCUGGUUAGUAAGUUAAAAGUGAAAUCCCGAGGCUUAACCUUGGAACUGCUUUUAAAACUGCUAACCUAGAGAUUGAAAGAGGAUAGAGGAAUUCCUAGUGUAGAGGUGAAAUUCGUAAAUAUUAGGAGGAACACCAGUGGCGAAGGCGUCUAUCUGGUUCAAAUCUGACGCUGAGGCGCGAAGGCGUGGGGAGCAAACAGGAUUAGAUACCCUGGUAGUCCACGCUGUAAACGAUGAAUGUUAAAUAUGGGAAGUUUACUUUCUGUAUUACAGCUAACGCGUUAACAUUCCGCCUGGGGACUACGGUCGCAGAUUAAACUCAAGGAAUUGACGGGAC
Molecule: ribosomal RNA, 940 nt
Filed under: uncultured Wolbachia sp.
Lineage: Bacteria; Pseudomonadati; Pseudomonadota; Alphaproteobacteria; Rickettsiales; Anaplasmataceae
Description: bacterial SSU rRNA
Rfam family: Bacterial small subunit ribosomal RNA
Source: RNAcentral